This 29-nucleotide non-coding RNA is filed under the name Mus musculus (house mouse). Lineage: Eukaryota; Metazoa; Chordata; Mammalia; Rodentia; Muridae. The record is from RNAcentral.
UGGAAGGUCUUACCACAGGAAUGUCCAAU